This 442-nucleotide ribosomal RNA is filed under the name uncultured bacterium. Its description in RNAcentral is "bacterial SSU rRNA". It matches the Rfam family "Bacterial small subunit ribosomal RNA", at positions 958 to 1398 of the family's 1533-position model. The record is from RNAcentral.
AACGCGAAGAACCUUACCAGCUCUUGACAUGUCCGGUGUGGUCGUCAGAGAUGACGUCCUUCCCGCAAGGGGCCGGAACACAGGUGCUGCAUGGCUGUCGUCAGCUCGUGUCGUGAGAUGUUGGGUUAAGUCCCGCAACGAGCGCAACCCUCGCCCUUAGUUGCCAUCAUUCAGUUGGGCACUCUAGGGGGACUGCCGGUGAUAAGCCGAGAGGAAGGUGGGGAUGACGUCAAGUCCUCAUGGCCCUUACGGGCUGGGCUACACACGUGCUACAAUGGCGGUGACAAUGGGAUGCUGAGGGGCGACCCCGAGCAAAUCUCAAAAAGCCGUCUCAGUUCGGAUUGCACUCUGCAACUCGAGUGCAUGAAGGUGGAAUCGCUAGUAAUCGUAGAUCAGAACGCUACGGUGAAUACGUUCCCGGGCCUUGUACACACCGACGCAC